CUCAGGAGACUGAGGCAGAAGGAUCAUUGGGAGUUCGAGGCCAGCCCGGGAUACAUAGUGAGUUCCCAAGCAGAAGCUGUGGUGAAGCCCAAGUCUGACUCUGUCUGAGUCCUUCUCUGGCUUCCUCUUUGAGCUGUGACGCCCCGCUCCACCGCCACCACGUGCCUCGAUGUGACGCCGCCAGAGGACCCUCACCAGCGCUGAGCCUGCCCGCCGUGCGCUCACCAGCCCGCUUUUUCCUCGAGAGCUGCGGUAACACGCGGCUGACAGGAACGUACCGCCCAGACCGCACAGCACCAAGCGCAGAGGCAGAGAAAACCUCCAGGCCCCGACUCCUCCCCAGCUGGGCCAGCGCCAGCCCCGGGCGGUCACAGGGCCCCUCAGCGGGGACUCUGUGGAGAGGCUGCUGCGAUCGCCCUGCUGGGCCAGCUCCACGGAGGAGCUGAUCUCUUGGGACACAGAGGUAAUGGAGCCAGGCGGGUGACACCGCCGAGGACCUGGCCCUGUCACAUGGUGCCUUCUGCAGCUCCUCAGCAUAAGCACAGAUCGGGAAGCUUCCCAGGUGCUUGCUCUGUGGCCCAAGUUGAGCUUGAACUUGUUUGUGAUCCUCCUGCCUCAGCCUCCCCGAGCACUGGGAUUCCAGGUCUCUACCCAGUGCCUCACAGAAAAGUUCCCCGGCCCCGUCCAAACAGCCCUACUCCCCAGGCACCAUCCCUUACUGGUGACCACUAUGGCCAAUGGUGUUUUCUCCCAGUUACUUUCUCUUCACCCCCUUUCUGGGGCUGGCAGGAAGACAAGAGACUUGAGUAAUCCAGACCAGUGCUGAAUCCUAGUGCACGAGGCAGAGUGUGUUAUAGAGCGACUGCUCGAUGGACGCUUGGGGAAGGGAAGAAGGAAAGGACAAAGGGAAGGAGGAUGGAAAAUGCCUGCAUGGGCUUCUUUCGCAUGUUUCCGAUUUAACCCUUGCUAAAGCUCUACCCGAAGAUGCAGGGCCAGCUACAGCAUUGGUGGGGCCCCAAAAAAGGGAGGCAGCCCUUGCUCGACAGUGACUGAGAAUUUCAAGCUGGCAGCAGCGCAGAAGCUGGCCGUGGGGAGGUGCCACCAUCGACUCCCUGUGCUGUGGAGCGGAGGGAGGAUCAGAGAGGGCCGUGGCUGGCACACAGCAUGGUCGCAGGCACCACCUUGGGACAUGGGCCUCCCCAACCCCACCCCAUGGCGGACACGUGUGACUCCACAUCUCUGGAAGCCUGGGGUCCAGCCCGGAGAAGACCGUGGGAAACAACGCUCUCCACCAUGGUGAGCACAUUCCCACCCUCCUCUCUCUAAGGAAUUCCGGUGUCCUGGUGGGAGGCGCAUAGGUAAUCCUGGGGGCCCUGGGCCCCUGGUUUGGGGAGAAGUGCCCCAGGCCUGGUGGGCACCACACUCAGUUUUAAAAGCACCCUCCUGAGGCAGCAGGAGGAGAAGGAAGGGAGGGCCCACCUUCGGGGUGCUUUCGGGGCUGCAGCUGAGACUCCCGGUAACCAAGGAAACGGUGUGGAAAAGUCCUCUCCCCAGCCACUAACCUUCUGAGUUAAACGUCAGCCCAGAACCAGGAUUAGCAUGCACACAAAGCGAACAGGUAACCAGGGAACUCCGCUUACACACAGGAAGUCCCCACCAAGUGCCCAGUGGUCUUCUGUAACCCUUGGCAACCCCAACCUUAAUUACCACGGCACUGACCGUGCAGAUCUGACUCCCCUGUGGGCUUCGGGCCACAUGACGGCUCCUCAAAGGGCCAUAAAAGGUCAGAAACUCCACUGUCAAGCUGCUCACUGGCAGGAUGGAGAGCUCAGACCAAACCCUCCAUUCCACCUGAGCCUGAGGUUUAGAACUCAGUGCCGAGGCCCCGGGGGCCAUGAGCUGUCACUGGCCCCGGCCUACCCCGUAGUGUUAUCUUGUCCUCUCCCUUUCGAACACGUCACUGGUCCUGCUGCUCCUUCUGUGUCCUGCUCAGCUCUGUGUUCAGGACCUUGAGAACGCGGAGGAGCGCUCAGGCUGCUACGAUGCUCUGGACAGGCCCUCCACAGCCCACCCUGCCGCAGCCGCGGUACCCUGGGCUGGGCGCACCCUCUCCUCGGGGAAAUAGGAAGGGGACAGAGCUCUGAGCCUGCACAGUUUAACCUGGGGAGCCCUGGGCACCCCAAUGCCCGCACUAACAGGGAUGAGAGGAGGACCCUAAAGAUGCUCUGACAGCGUCACUCAGGAGAGGGGACCUGCCCUCGGAGGCGUCAGGGGAAUCGAGGGUGCAGCCUGUAGCCUGAGCCCCCUCCCCAGGAGGACCGGCAGCACACCACUCUGACAUCAGCCUUUGUCCUCGGCCCAGGCCACCCCUCCCAGCCCCCUAAACCAGGCCAGUGGCCAUGACUUGAACCCUGUCUUAGGGCAGCGGCUAGCAGUGGCAGGAUCACAAUAGUGUCAUGAGCUGCCCCCAGCCACCAGGCUCUGCUGCAGACGGCCUAGGAAACCACAGCUAAGCCACCUGCGCCCAUACCCACGAAGCCCUGCCCCAACCCCAGGAAGCCUGUCAUCUGCUGGGAGCUUGGGCCAGUUCUGCCCUCAGAAGAGGGUGCUUGGCUCUGUGCUUCUGCUGAGACCUCAUGUUGUGGGGCCUACAAGCCACUUUCUUACUCUAAUAGAAGGGCCAAAAGCUGGGCAUGGUGGCACAAGCUUGUAUAUAAUCCCAGCACUA
Long non-coding RNA from Chinchilla lanigera (long-tailed chinchilla), 2728 nucleotides. RefSeq lists it as uncharacterized. The record is from RefSeq and is a predicted model, not a curated record. Lineage: Eukaryota; Metazoa; Chordata; Mammalia; Rodentia; Chinchillidae. The transcript is spliced from 3 exons.